This 73-nucleotide transfer RNA is filed under the name Bos taurus (domestic cattle). It matches the Rfam family "tRNA". Rfam says of the family: Transfer RNA (tRNA) molecules are approximately 80 nucleotides in length. The record is from Rfam by way of RNAcentral. Lineage: Eukaryota; Metazoa; Chordata; Mammalia; Artiodactyla; Bovidae.
UCCCCGGUGGUCCAGUGGCUAAGACUCCUGGCUCCCAAAGCAGGGGUCCCAGGUUCAAUCCCUGGUCAGGGAA